GAUGAAGAACGUAGUGAAAUGCGAUACGUAAUGUGAAUUGCAGAAUUCAGUGAAUCAUCGAAUCUUUGAACGCAUAUUGCGCUCUCUGGUAUUCCGGAGAGCAUGCUUGUUUGAGUAUCAGUAAACACCUCAACUUCCAUAUCUUUUUUGAAAUGGGAGUUGGACUUGAGUGAUCCCAACGCUUUUCCUCACCGAAAAGUGGCGGGUUACUUGAAAUGCAGGUGCAGCUGGACUUUUCUCUGAGCUAAAAGCAUAUCUAUUUAGUCUGCCUAAAAAACAGAUUAUUACCUUUGCUGCAGCUAACAUAAAGGAGAUUAGUUCUUGUGCUGACUGAUGCAGGAUUCACAAAGACGGCUUCGGCCGACUUUGUAAACUCGAUCUCAAAUCAAGUAAGACUACCCGCUGAACUUAAGCAUAUCAAUAAGCGGAGGA
This 432-nucleotide unclassified non-coding RNA is filed under the name soil metagenome. Its description in RNAcentral is "partial contains 5.8S ribosomal RNA, internal transcribed spacer 2, and large subunit ribosomal RNA". The stretch from base 1 to 120 matches the Rfam family "5.8S ribosomal RNA", at positions 35 to 154 of the family's 154-position model. The record is from RNAcentral.